This 71-nucleotide transfer RNA is filed under the name Loxodonta africana (African savanna elephant). It matches the Rfam family "tRNA". Rfam says of the family: Transfer RNA (tRNA) molecules are approximately 80 nucleotides in length. Lineage: Eukaryota; Metazoa; Chordata; Mammalia; Proboscidea; Elephantidae. The record is from Rfam by way of RNAcentral.
GCAUUGAUGGUUCAGUGAUAGAGUUCUUGUCUUCAUUGCCGGAGACUCAGGUUUGAUUCCUGACCAGUGCA